UACGUAGGGUGCGAGCGUUGUCCGGAAUUACUGGGCGUAAAGAGCUCGUAGGUGGUUUGUCGCGUUGUUCGUGAAAACCUGAGGCUUAACCUUGGGCGUGCGGGCGAUACGGGCAGACUGGAGUACUGCAGGGGAGACUGGAAUUCCGGGUGGAGCGGUGAAAUGCGUAGAGAUCCGGAGGAACACCAGGGGCGAAAGCGGCCGACUGGCUGAGUACUGACGCUGAGGCGCGAAAGCGUGGGGAGCAAACCGG
Molecule: ribosomal RNA, 253 nt
Filed under: uncultured bacterium
Lineage: Bacteria
Description: partial 16S ribosomal RNA
Rfam family: Bacterial small subunit ribosomal RNA
Source: RNAcentral